Molecule: unclassified non-coding RNA, 377 nt
Filed under: soil metagenome
Description: partial contains 5.8S ribosomal RNA, internal transcribed spacer 2, and large subunit ribosomal RNA
Rfam family: 5.8S ribosomal RNA (bases 1-120)
Source: RNAcentral
GAUGAAGAACGUAGCGAAGUGCGAUAAGUAAUGUGAAUUGCAGAAUUCCGUGAAUCAUCGAAUCUUUGAACGCAAAUUGCACUUUCUGGUAUUCCGGAGAGUAUGCCUGUUUGAGGGUCAGUGUAAUAAAUAAAUCGUGGUUGUUACCACUUUUCGUGGUGACGCUUCGGAAUUGAGUCGUCUUGCCUUCGGUUAAGUGACUUAAAAUUUUUUCAUACGAUUUCGAAACGUAUUUAAUGUAAUAUGUACGUUCACGAAUAUCGAAUGUUUUUAUUAGGUGCGGUCAUUUUCAUGAAUUCGCGUCUAUAAUUUUUUUUUUUUGACCUCAAAUCAGGUAAGAAUACCCGCUGAACUUAAGCAUAUCAAUAAGCGGAGGA